Salvia splendens (bonfire salvia) is the source of this 1628-nucleotide long non-coding RNA. RefSeq lists it as uncharacterized. The record is from RefSeq and is a predicted model, not a curated record. NCBI's taxonomy places the organism in Eukaryota, Viridiplantae, Streptophyta, Magnoliopsida, Lamiales, Lamiaceae. The transcript is spliced from 2 exons.
ACCUUGCCUAUUACCCCAACCGUCGACACCUCUCUGCCCCCUUUCUCAUUUCCAAACUUUAGCAAACCCUAAUUCUCUUCCUCUCUGAAUAAGCGCCGGAAAUGGCUUGCUUCGCUUGUUUUUGUCGCCAUCACUGGAGCUCGUCUGGUUCGAGUCAUCGUCGGAACGGAGGUGGAGGUGGAGGUGUCGCCUCUGUGAUUUCCCCCCCUCUCGGCUGCUUUGCAGUGGUGUGCAUCGCCAUCUGCCGCCAGCCAGUUCCGCCGACUUGCCACGCUGUGGAUAUCUCGCCGACGACCGCCAGCCAGCUCCGAUUCUCCGUUCGAGCAACGGUUCUGCCCGCGGCUACCUCCGCCGGCGUGCUCGCCGUCGAUCUAGCCUCGCGGCGUCGCUCGGCUUCCAUCAUCCAUCGUCGGACAACCUUCCCUAAGCUAAGUCACCCUUUUAACCCCUUCACUGUCUAGUUUACCAUUUAUGCAUAUCUGAAACGAUGUUUAGAUAGUAGUUGGGUUCAAGAGGUUGCUUAUGGCUAUCCUUGUUCUAAACAUGUGCUGCAAAAGAUCGCUAAAUAAGGGCUUAGGGCAGUAGCUAAACCGAGUUUCCUUGGCAGUAAAGCUCCUACAAAAGUGGUUCUAGGUUCUUAGGUAAACAUGAGCUCUAUCAUGCUUAAGUUCCUGGAACGAUGGAGUCUUAACAUGCUUGUGAUGUAUAACUGAUGCUAUGAGUGAUAUGAGCUUUAGAUCUUGGUGUUGGAUGGAUUACCUGAGAGGUUUGUGGUUGGGUUGUAACACGUCCCUUAGACUUUGGCUCUCGGUUCCUGCCCUGGUCUCUGCUCCUCUCACUCUUUAUCUUGCCAGAAUUUCAACAAAUGGUUGUGGAGGAGGUAAGGGCUGGGGUUAUACUCUUUUAUAGACUAUUGUGUAACUGAAAGCUGCACAAUAUCUGAUGUACUUGGUUGGAAAAGGAUUUCACAGGUUGUGCGGUUUGUUACUCUUCCUGCAGCUUUGCAGAGCGUGUACUUUGAGUCCUUGUUCCUUCCUAACUAAUCUUGGGGCUGGUGUACUCGUGGUUUUAGUGGAGUUGCUGAGUCCAUGCAAUGCUCCACACCCGUUAACUGCUUUUGGCCUAUUGUGUAGUCUAGUACUAAACUCAUUUAUGAAUUCUCGUCCCUUGUUGCAGGUGCACUCAGGAGAUGGCACUUUGUGGCUGUUUUCCUUGACCAUAGCAGGUCUAACGGACGUGGUACGGGCUGCCAUCUGUAGCCUUACAGUGCAGCAGUUGGAGGGGAGGAAUUUGUUAGCUGAUCUUGCCCUUCUCGGCCCAGCUCUUCCUCAUAUUUCUGAAAGGCAUUGGCAGCGUCAAGCGGCUAGCCGCGGAGAAGGUGCUCCCUUGAUGCCUCGCCCAUUCGGGCUUUCUGAAAUCUGGGCCGAGGUGGCCUAUUUGAUGAAGAUCGACAUAGUUGCUAGGAACUCAACCAUGUGGCUAGACUUAAACUUGUUUCCCAAUUGUACGAAAAUUCGAUGAUAGUUGGUGCAUGUUUCUUUCUAGAAAUAGUAAUUUAUUAGUUUUGAAAUUUUGGAAUUUGUAUUAAUACUUUUAUUCAAGGAAUAAACAUACUCAUUCAUUCUUUA